UUUUUUUUUUUUUGCUGUUCACCACAAACUGUAAUUUGAGUCGUGCAACAGCUGAGAUUACGUAUACGCCACCGCAAGAUCUUAUUUCAGAUUUAAGCUGUAUGUGGCCGGCGCUUCUUUAUGAUUCCGUUGUUAAUUUGCGGCUAGUGAUAAAUGAUAAGCGUAAAUUGGCGCAAUUGUUAUGAGCCAACAAAUGGAAAUGGCCUCUGAGCUACGCACACACUAAACCGCACUAUUAAUAAUACUUAGUGAGCGGCGCACCAUUGAUAAAUAUGGCAGCAGUUAAAACCAGGCCAUAAAUGCGCAACUACAACAAAUCACCAAACAAUUUGAGGCCUGUCCACAAUGGUUAAGUCAAGCCAGGUGUCCUGC
Long non-coding RNA from Drosophila navojoa, 372 nucleotides. The record is from RefSeq and is a predicted model, not a curated record. NCBI's taxonomy places the organism in Eukaryota, Metazoa, Arthropoda, Insecta, Diptera, Drosophilidae.